RNAcentral lists this long non-coding RNA (5706 nucleotides) under Felis catus (domestic cat). RNAcentral's name for it is "lncRNA (ENSFCAG00000048947.1)". Lineage: Eukaryota; Metazoa; Chordata; Mammalia; Carnivora; Felidae. The record is from RNAcentral.
AUGAAAAAAACUACUUUCACUUAUGACCCCAAAAUAGUUGGGCUUCAUCAACUCUACUCCAGUGCUGAUGUCUCUAAACAUUUAUUUCAAGGAGCCCCAAAUGAGAUUAAAACUAAAGAAAUGUUACAAAAUUUGGUAUCUAGAGAAAAAUAUACCAGUUCUGACAUUGAUGCUGUUUUUCUAAAAAGCUCCACUGACAACUCAAAUUCUCAGGCUCCCAAAUCUGUGACUCACCCCCUAACUCACACAAGUGAAAGUACUCACAAAUUUCUAGGUAAAGCAACUCUUAAAAGGGACACUUUAAGAGGAGAUGACACCAUCACUGUUUUCCCUGAAGACAAAAUGAUGGAAUACACCCUUAUUCCAGACCCAGAAAAAACAGUAAUCAUGGUAGAGGGAAGGAUGUUCCCAGAUGAACCUACAGAUCCCAUUGUUAUCACCUCUCCAUUAAAAAAUAAGAAUCAGUUCUUCAGGAAAGUCGUUUCAUCUGCUAUGUAUAACACUGAUGCCCAAGGUAAAGCAGAAAACAUCUUAUCAUCCCAAGCAGACAAUGUUAAAGGUAAAACUAAUAUGGCAGAGAUGCAAUACUCAUGGGAUAGCAUUAUUCCUUUGACUGAGUUUAAUGUCAUCCCUAAGGGCAAACUUUCUUUCAUCAAUGAAGAUACUAAAACUUUAAACAAAAAGGCUUCAAUCUCUUCUUUAUCUAAGAAUACAGUAAACAUUGUGGAUGACACCACUACUCCCUCCACUGAGAGUAGUUAUGAAAGAGGUAACUCUAUGCCGCCAGAAGACAAUAUUGGGUCCAGGGGAUUCCUAGCUCUACAAAUCCAAGAAAAGUCCAUGUUCACUAAUGCGUCAACUGAAAAUCUUGAAAUCUCUGACCCAGUGACAAAUAACUCCUUGGUUAAUUCUUCAAUUGCAUUGUCAAACAUGUUUAAGACAAUGAUUGAAUACCCUAAUUCUGUUAAUGAUGGUGAUAGUUCCACUAAAAAUAAAACUGAUCCCAAGCCCAACUCCUUAACCUCAACAAAAUUUCUCAUUAGUUCUACUACUUUUUCAGACAAUCCCACAAACAAUGAGUUUGAUUCACUGCCCUCAGUAAAUACAGAAACUACUGAUGUCUCUAAAACUGAGACAGAUAAAACAUAUUCUGAGCCUCAGAGAACAAUCAUGAAUGCCUUUUCUCCUACAAAAGUCUCUCAACAUAUGGUCUCUCAAAGAAGAAAAAUAGGUAUUUUUUCUGAUCAAAAAGAUCCAGCCACUAAAUUUGAUUUAAGUCACAUUGCAAAUGCAACCAUUCUCAAUUCAGCUAUGAGGAAAAUCCUUCCCUCAGUAACUGGGUUUAAUAAUCUGUCAAUGAGUAACAAUGUGGAAGAGGAAGUACAUAUUUCUAAAGCAGACAAUUUUUUUCCAAAAGAUGCAAGUACAUUGAAAGAUAAUUCUUUCACUGUUAAAUAUGAUGCUACUUCUACUAAACCUCAAGCAUACCACAAUUUAAAAGGAAUCAUUACAGUUGGUUCUGUAUUAACCCUUCCAGAAGUAUCUAGGUCUAAUGAUAAAAGCUCUUCGCUUGAAGUUGCUACUGGAGAAAGGAUCAUCACAAACACUCCCAUUGGGACAUAUGACCUACCACCAUGGAAGUCAAUUAUUCCUUCUGAUUUCACAACAUUCAUGAGCUCAUCUAAGUAUUCUGAACUUGAUCCAGUUAUCAAGAGGAAAAAAGAUACCACAACAAAGACUAAUAAUAGUAUUCCACCUGGAGAAAGAAAUACUCCAUCUGACAAAAUCAUUAUCUCACCUACUACCAUUCUUUCAAAAAAAGACACGAAAAACACUAUUAAUACUACUACUACUACUAAUAAUAAUAAAUUUGGAGAUGAGACUUCAAUAGGGAAAGAUAUAGCCACUGAAGUAGUUCUUAUCACAGAAGACAUUUCAGAAAAAUUACAUGACACCUUUUUGGCAAGGGAAAAUAUUCCAAGUGAUGAGGACAUAAUAACUAUUAUACCCGUUGACAAUGCCCUUGAGUAUGUUGCAGAUAACUAUGCCUUUGAACUAGUGAGGGAUGGAAAUGGUCCCCUUACAAGAAAGACCACACUUAGGAAAGACUCCAAAGUAUUUGACUCUCAUUCACCCCAUGCCAGUGCUGCAGCCUCUGAACGUGCAUCCCAAGGAUCUCUAACUGUUAUCAAAACUACCAAAAAAUACCAAGGCUUCAUUCCCAAAGAUAAAAACCUUAAUUUUGACAAUGAUGCUACUGUUCUCAAAAGGUCUUCUGUCAAUUUUAAUACUAAGGUUCCCAGAUCCAUGAUUCAUUCUCUUACUGAUUCAAGUUGGAUUUUUUUACCUGAGUUUCUAGGUGAAACAAUUGUGGAAAAUACUUCUCCAAUUGGUGAUAACACCAUCAACAUUAUCCCUGAAGGCAAAAGAAUGGAGUACCUGUUUGAUUCAGACCCAGAACUAAUGAUAAGAAUGGGAGGGAGCAAGAUAUUCACUGAUUCCACUGAUCCUGCUGUGAUCACCUAUCCUAUAGAUUAUAAAAACCAAUUCAACAGGAAAGGUGUAUCGUUUGCUUAUUAUAAUAAUGAUGUACCCGAAGAAGCAAAAGCCACUAUAUCAGCCAAAUUGGAUGCAAAUAAACGUAAACCAAACUUGGCAGAUAUACUUCAUUUGAAGAACAACAUUAUUCCUUUGGCUGAGUUCAAUGUCAUUCCUGAUGAUGAUCUUCCCUUCAUUGGUAAAAAUACUGAGAAAGCAACCAACAGAGCUUCAAUCUUUUCCUCAUCUAUGAAUAAGGCAGCCAGGACUAUGGCUGAUUCCAUUGUUCUUCCCACUGAACGUAGUUAUGGAGGAGGUGAUUCAAUGUUGCCUGGAAAAGAUGUUAAAUCUAGAGGAUUCCCAUCUCUGUUAACACUUGCCAUACUUAUCCCGAAUUCCUCACCUGAAAAUCCUGAAACUUUUGGCUUAAUGACAGAUAAAUCUUCAUCUGAAUCUUUACUAAAUAGGUCAGAAAUGUUAGAAAGAGCAAAUGAAUAUGCCGAUGCCAUUAAUGGAGAUGAUGUUUCAGGGAGACAGGUCACAAUAACUCAAGCUGACAUUCAUUCCUAUCCAUUGGCUUGGAAUGUUUCUCCAAUUGGAUCAACUACUUUCUCAGAUAGUACCACAGAUGAUGAGGCUGACUCAUUUUUCUCUCUGAAUACAGAUACUCCUGAGAAUUAUAUACCUAAGACUGACAAAAUAUAUUUCAAAUCUCAAAGAGCAAUGAUGAAAGCCUUUUCCCUUACAGAAGACUCUCAAGAUAGUGUCUAUGAAAGAAAGAAAAUAGCUAAUCUUUUUGAUCAAGAAGAUCCAGCUUCUAAAUUGGAAUUACUUAAUUUUAAAAAUACAACAGUUUUCAUCCCAGCUAUGAGGAAAAUCCUUCCAUCAGGAACUGAGCCCAACCCUCUCUACAAGGGUAACAGCAAUAUGGAAGAUUCUUUUACUGUUAAAUUUGAUGCUACUUCCUUCAAACCUCAAAGACCUCCCAAUUUAAAAGGAAUCUUUUUAGCCAAUCCCACAUUAACUCUUCCAGAAGAACCUAGGCCUACCUCUCAUGAUAAAGUUACUAACACAGGAGGGUCCAUCACAAACACUCCAACUGGACUACAUGGGCUUCAAUGGAGGUCAAAUUUUCCUCCUUCUUAUUUUACGACAUCCAUGAGGACUUCCAAAUAUUCUGAACUUGUUCCUGUUACUAGUAUGGGAAAAUACAGGACCAAAAAGAUUGAUCAUAACAUUCCACAUGAGAAAAUAAUUAUUCCAUAUGAUAAAGGUAUCAUUUCACCUACUGUCAUUACCUCUGAAAAAGACAUGGCGAACACUUUACAAGGGAAUAUAUCUGAGCAUAAAGACCUUCUAAAGAGAGAGAUGGCAGCUGAAUAUGAAAUCAUUUAUUUUACAGAAGACAUUUCAGAAAGAGUGGAUAACAUUUCUUCUACAUAUAAAAUCACUCCAGCAUAUUUGGACCAUACAGCUAUUAUGUCUGAUGACAGUGGAUCUGAAUAUGUCUCAGAUAUGCAUACUGCAGAAUUAGAAGAUAGAGCAGAUAAUUCCCUGAUAAAAAUGAGCACACUCAUAUAUGCCCCCAAGACACAUGUGUCUCAUGCACCACAUACCACAGUUACUCCUCCAGACAGUCUAUCUAAAAUAAUAUUCCCAGUGUUCAAAGCCAGAGAAAACUACCAAGCUACGAUUCUGAGACAGGAAAACAGCACUGACACUGAUGUCAUUGCUCUCAAGGAUUCUAAUGCCAAUGUCAAUACCAAAGCUCACAGACCCACAACUCACUUCCUAAUUGACGCAAGUGUAAAUUUUCCUUCUAGUUUUUCUGACAAAACACCUGUGGGAAAAGGUACCAUAAAUGAUGAUGAUGGCACCAUAAUUCCCUCUGAAGGCUUUGAUUUAGAACAUAAAAUAAUUGAGCAUUCCCUUUCUCCAGACAUAAAACUCGUAGCUGAUAGCAAGACAUUCACAACGGAUACUACUAAUCAUGCUUUUAAAAACAGUGCUAAUUUUCUCAGGAGAAACAUAGCACCUAUCAUUUAUAAGACAUUUACACCCCAGAGAGGAGACACUACCACAUCCAGUAUAUCUGACUUUACUGAAGAUCAAACAGGUAUAGCUACAGUAUAUGAUUCAAGGUUUAGUAAUUUUCCUUCAGCUCAGCCUUCCAGUGAUGUCAUCUCCAAUGUGAAAGAAAACAAAGAAGAUGCAAUCAAGACGGCUCUUACUUUCUUUUAUCCUUUGAAAAAGAUGUCUGCCAACAUGCAAAAUGCUCCUGCUACUUCUACUAAGAACAAAAAUAACAUUGACCAUUAUAGCCUUCCAUCAUCGGGGAGUGUCAGGUCUCUAAAACUUGCAUAUAUGGGACUACCUGAAAUUCUCAUCCUAACUUCUAAAGUCCCUACUAAAGAAACCGCAUCUCCCAAACUUAUAAAAGGCACAAACCUCUACUACCCAACAGUGUUAAUAUCAGAGCCUGUGUCUAUAGACUCACCUUACUUCAAUAAAGGCAUUGUCUCAAAAGGAAAAAAUACUAAAAGUCAAAUAGUCCCCUUUGUCUAUACUGUCCUCCAAGCUGAUUCUACAGGUUCUUCAGACAACAUGGCUAAUGUCAAACCUAGCACAUCUGCUACUGUUGUCACCAAAAGCAAAAUUUUUGGUACUGAUGAAUUUCGUGAUCAAAAUGCAGAACCCAAGAAAACAACCACCAAGUUUUCUUCUCUUUUUCCUAAUGAAUAUAGUAAACCAAAUUUCUAUUACACAAGGAAAAUAACUAAAGCUUCUGCAGUGAAAGACACAGCUGAACUGAAUCACCUUACAGAUGUAAAUAGAAUAGGAAAUGAUCCAGUUAUUCAGGUGGAAACAAACUCUCUAAAAGAUGCUGACCUAAAGCCUUAUCUUGUGAAUAAAAAUGUCAUUGCUGAUAAUAAAUCAGUGAACGAGGAUUCUGACCGUGUCCCUGUAGCAGCUUACUCAAGCUGUCACAUGCCAAAGGAUUCCCUCCCAGAUGGAUCUGGUCCUCAGGGUCAGGUCCUUGAGUUCAUUACUGGGAACUCAAACUUGCUAACAGAAGUAAUUACCACUAUUCCUACUGAUGAAAAAUCUUUAUCUUACACAGAGAUCAUUUCCAUGGUAGAAGGAAAUUCUCAGUUGGAAUUAAAUUAG